GAUGAACGCUGGCGGCGUGCCUAACACAUGCAAGUCGAGCGGACGGACGAGAAGCUUGCUUCUCUGAUGUUAGCGGCGGGCGGGUGAGUAACAUGUGGAUCACCUACCUAUAUGUCUGGGAUAAUUUCGGGAAACCGGAUCUAAUACCGGAUAAUAUUUUGAACCGCAUGGUGCAAAAGUGAAAGACGGUCUUGCGGUCACUUAUAGCUGCAUCCGCGCUGGAUUAGCUAGUUGGUAAGGUAACGGCUUACCAAGGCAACGAUGCAUAGCCGACCUGAGAGGGUGAUCGGCCACACUGGAACUGGGACACGGUCCAGACUCCUACGGGAGGCAGCAGUAGGGAAUGUUAGGCAAUGGGCGAAAGCCUGACGGAGCAACGCCGCGUGAGUGAUGAAGGUCUUCGGAUCGUAAAGCUCUGUUAUUAGGGAAGAACAGCUGUGUAAGUAACUGUGCACAUCUUGACGGUACCUAAUCAGAAAGCCCCGGCUAACUACGUG
This 497-nucleotide ribosomal RNA is filed under the name uncultured bacterium. Its description in RNAcentral is "partial 16S ribosomal RNA". It matches the Rfam family "Bacterial small subunit ribosomal RNA", at positions 28 to 507 of the family's 1533-position model. The record is from RNAcentral.